AUUCAGCUUGUUGGUGGGGUAAUGGCCUACCAAGGCGACGACGGGUAGCCGGCUGAGAGGGCGACCGGCCACACUGGGACUGAGACACGGCCCCAGACUCCUACGGGAGGCAGCAGUGGGGAAUAUUGCACAAUGGGGGAAACCCUGAUGCAGCGACGCAGCGUGCGGGAUGACGGCCUUCGGGUUGUAAACCGCUUUCAGCAGGGAAGAAGCGAAAGUGACGGUACCUGCAGAAGAAGUACCGGCUAACUACGUGCCAGCAGCCGCGGUAAUACGUAGGGUACGAGCGUUGUCCGGAAUUAUUGGGCGUAAAGAGCUCGUAGGUGGUUGGUCACGUCUGCUGUGGAAACGCAACGCUUAACGUUGCGCGUGCAGUGGGUACGGGCUGACUAGAGUGCAGUAGGGGAGUCUGGAAUUCCUGGUGUAGCGGUGAAAUGCGCAGAUAUCAGGAGGAACACCGGUGGCGAAGGCGGGACUCUGGGCUGUAACUGACACUGAGGAGCGAAAGCAUGGGGAGCGAACAGGAUUAGAUACCCUGGUAGUCCAUGCCGUAAACGUUGGGCACUAGGUGUGGGGGACAUUCCACGUUCUCCGCGCCGUAGCUAACGCAUUAAGUGCCCCGCCUGGGGAGUACGGUCGCAAGGCUAAAACUCAAAGGAAUUGACGGGGGCCCGCACAAGCGGCGGAGCAUGCGGAUUAAUUCGAUGCAACGCGAAGAACCUUACCAAGGCUUGACAUACACUGGACCGUUCUGGAAACAGUUCUUCUCUUUGGAGCUGGUGU
This 783-nucleotide ribosomal RNA is filed under the name Brevibacterium sp. Its description in RNAcentral is "bacterial SSU rRNA". It matches the Rfam family "Bacterial small subunit ribosomal RNA", at positions 239 to 1033 of the family's 1533-position model. The record is from RNAcentral. Lineage: Bacteria; Bacillati; Actinomycetota; Actinomycetes; Micrococcales; Brevibacteriaceae.